Artibeus jamaicensis (Jamaican fruit-eating bat) is the source of this 1905-nucleotide long non-coding RNA. RefSeq lists it as uncharacterized. The record is from RefSeq and is a predicted model, not a curated record. Lineage: Eukaryota; Metazoa; Chordata; Mammalia; Chiroptera; Phyllostomidae. The transcript has 8 exons.
UGCGUGAUUCUAUUGGGGUUGGUGUGGGCUGUGGGAGUCGCGAUUUUGAAUUCAGCUUCGUUCGCUCUGCUGCCUCACCAGUCUUCUCUCAGUAAACCCGUUCUUCCGGAAAACAAGUUUUAGAGGCUGGGAAGUCCAAGACCAAGGUCCCAGCCUAUGCAGUCAGCAGCGAGAACCCCCUUCCUCUCUCGCAGAAGGCCUCCUUCUCGUCUGCACAGGGCUGGUGAAGAGAGCUCUCGCCCUUCCUCCUGGAGAGAAGAAGGGAGAGAGAAGCAUUGAUUGGUUGCCUCCCAUAGGUGACCAGACCAGGCAUCAAUCCUGCAACCUAGCCUGUUAAAUUUGACUAAAACAGUCCUCUGGACCUCGGUUUGGAUCCCUGGUUUUCCUCUAACUAGCUGAGACUUUGAACAAUUAUUCCAUUUCUGAUCAUGGCUGAUAAAACCCAGGAGGUUGGUGGCAUCCAUUUCCCUUUUCCUUUCACACCCUAUUCCAUCCAGAAAGACUUCAUGGCAGAGCUUUACCAGGUGUUGGAGGCUGGCAAGAUUGGGAUAUUUGAGAGUCCAACCGGCACUACUGUUCCACAAUCCGGAUUUGACUGUUUCCUCUUUAUCGAUUCAGAGAUGUUUAGACGUAAGGUGGCUCCCCAAAGCCUGCCAAGAACAAAAAAUAUACUGUAAGCUCAAACAUCAGGGACUUGAUGGAAGCAAUCCAACAUGCUGAUCAGGUCCCAGAAGAAGAAAUAUUUUACAUACUCCCAUUAUUGAACAUCAAUAUCAUCCAUGGGAAUGUAAAAUAUAACGAGUGUCUGGACUUGGUAGACGUCAUUGUCAAUUACCUGAGCAAAAUGGUGAGGAGCCCAUGCCUCUGGGUUGAGGUUUUUGGGGGGAAGAAAGGAUCACAGGUCUAAACCCAGAAGUUCCUUUCUGGUGAACUGAGUGGUAUAUGAGAUAUAAGUACCUAAAGUUUCUAUACAAUUUACUAGAACCUAUAUCUGAUAUCACAAAUGUGUCUCAAGACUGUGAUGUAGAAGAUAAAGUAAAGAAGUAGAGGGUAGUGUGGGAGAAAUGGGAUGCAGAGGCCGGGAAGUAUUAGGCUUUUGGCUCCAAAGCCUGAUCUUGUUCUUCCACUGUGUUCUAAACCUGCUCCUGGGAUAACUUAGGCAGUCACCCUUGUUACUGCAACUCAACUAAUCACUUCAAUCUAUUUACUAAGUGACUUAAAUCCACCCACGUGUCUGCUAGCCCACCUUGGGACUGUAUAUUCAUAACCUCUACCCAUUCAUCUAUCCACAUACCCAUGUACAUAAUUUUUCUGACACCAGGUAAAUCUGGUUUCUGAUUUUAUUGGUUAACUGCCUACAUACAAGGUGUCUUCCAGUUUUUCGGCCUUCCUUGGCAUGCCUGCUUUCUGAUCAAGACCCCUGACCUAUCAGGGACUUUUCAAACUGGCUUCCACCAUCUAACCACGUUUCUGAUGGUUCACUUGCAGCCACAGGGAAAUCUCUGUGCUCUGGAUAUGCCAACUCCCUUUCCUACCAAACACACAAGCCAGAGACUUUGCAGAGAAUUUGCCCUUGUCCUCCAUCAUGGGAAAGUUGUAUGUUGAAUGAAGUGGUGGGAUUAAGAAAUUUAGCAUCUGCCCUUUAGAUAGAGGAGAGCCACUUAUCAACCAAAGUCAAUUCUCAGCAGCCCCAGGACUCGUGUUGGAUAUUAACUUUGGUACAGUUAAGUCGUUCUCUUUCCAGAAGCCAAGACCAAAACUGGAGAGGUUUUGCAUUAUCACCUUAAAAGGUGUGGGGGCUAAGAACCCACAACUGGUCUACAGGAAGCUGUGGGAUAGAGAAUACGAUCACUGUCUGCCUCCAAAGAGCCUCCUAAUUGUGGUUGGGGAUCUCUGCUGCUCCCG